This is a non-coding RNA of Crenichthys baileyi (White River springfish), 97 nucleotides long. The record is from the annotation of a GenBank genome assembly. NCBI's taxonomy places the organism in Eukaryota, Metazoa, Chordata, Actinopteri, Cyprinodontiformes, Goodeidae.
GGUUGCUGGUGGCUCAGUUGGUAGAGCAUGCCCAUUAUGUGCAAAGACUAUAGUCCUGGAAGCGAUUGUCCUGGGUUCGAUUCCUGGUCUCAGGCCA